GAACUUACAUGAAAUAUUCACAAAUCAACUAACUUGGAUCUUGAUCUGAUAAAUAUUAUAUUAAAGAUAUUUCUUCUAUCUUUCUGAUGGACAUGAGAUGUUCAUGAAUCUUAAGGCAUUCUUUUCAAAAAAAAAUUCUUUGGUGAAGGAACUGAUGUCGUUAAGAGUAAGCUUGGUGAAGCUUGAUAGGUAGAGGAACCAACUCUGACACAAACCAACAGAAUCGGAGCUGAUUAGAUCAAAUUCGAAGCCCGAUGUAAAGGCAUCCUUGAGU
RNAcentral lists this long non-coding RNA (274 nucleotides) under Elaeis guineensis (African oil palm). RNAcentral's name for it is "long non-coding RNA (EGUI_LNC054859)". Lineage: Eukaryota; Viridiplantae; Streptophyta; Magnoliopsida; Arecales; Arecaceae. The record is from RNAcentral.